This 187-nucleotide ribosomal RNA is filed under the name Heterobilharzia americana. RNAcentral's name for it is "28S rRNA". Lineage: Eukaryota; Metazoa; Platyhelminthes; Trematoda; Strigeidida; Schistosomatidae. The record is from RNAcentral.
CGAGUCAUUGGGUGUUACGAAACCCAAAGGCGUAGUGAAGGUAAAGGUUCGGCUUGUCCGGGCUGAGGUGAGAUCCUGUUGUUUUGCUCUCAAUUUCCAAGAUGCGAGCAGCAGGCGCAUCACCGGCCCGUCCCAUGACGUAGACAUGCGGUCUUGCACCGUGUGCACCGUCGGGGCGGAGCAAGAG